GCCAUUGUUGUGUAGUGGUUUGAAUAUUGGACUACAGGUCCGAAGACCAGGGUUCAAAUUCUUGCUCAGCCA
This is a non-coding RNA of Phrynosoma platyrhinos (Desert horned lizard), 72 nucleotides long. NCBI's taxonomy places the organism in Eukaryota, Metazoa, Chordata, Lepidosauria, Squamata, Phrynosomatidae. The record is from the annotation of a GenBank genome assembly.